AACGCAUCUUGCACCCUGGGGUAUUCCCUAGGGUAUGUCUGUCUGAGUGUUAUUUGAACUCUCAAAGCCACCUUCCUUUGAUUAGGCUGGUGUGCUUUGGAUCAUGGGUGUUUGUGAGCUUUGGCUUGCUCGCCUCAAAUGGAAUGUGGCAUUCUUCUCUGAAGCUGCUGCUGGGCUUGACCUGGAGUGAUAGAAGUCUUUCGAGAUCUCUGGGGAACCAUCUUAUGAUGGUGCCUGCUGUGGUGGGAGGGAGUGUCUAGCGGACUCAUCUGACGUUUUUGACCUCAGAUCAGGCAGGACUACCCGCUGAACUUAA
Molecule: unclassified non-coding RNA, 316 nt
Filed under: uncultured fungus
Lineage: Eukaryota; Fungi
Description: partial contains 5.8S ribosomal RNA, internal transcribed spacer 2, and large subunit ribosomal RNA
Rfam family: 5.8S ribosomal RNA (bases 1-52)
Source: RNAcentral